This 302-nucleotide ribosomal RNA is filed under the name Salmonella enterica subsp. enterica serovar Kentucky. RNAcentral's name for it is "bacterial LSU rRNA". It matches the Rfam family "Bacterial large subunit ribosomal RNA", at positions 605 to 909 of the family's 2925-position model. The record is from RNAcentral. Lineage: Bacteria; Pseudomonadati; Pseudomonadota; Gammaproteobacteria; Enterobacterales; Enterobacteriaceae.
CUUUUGUAUAAUGGGUCAGCGACUUAUAUUCUGUAGCAAGGUUAACCGAAUAGGGGAGCCGGAGGGAAACCGAGUCUUAACUGGGCGUUAAGUUGCAGGGUAUAGACCCGAAACCCGGUGAUCUAGCCAUGGGCAGGUUGAAGGUUGGGUAACACUAACUGGAGGACCGAACCGACUAAUGUUGAAAAAUUAGCGGAUGACCUGUGGCUGGGGGUGAAAGGCCAAUCAAACCGGGAGAUAGCUGGUUCUCCCCGAAAGCUAUUUAGGUAGCGCCUCGUGAAUUCAUCUCCGGGGGUAGAGCA